GACGUAGGUUGCGAGCGUUGUCCGGAUUUAUUGGGCGUAAAGAGCUCGUAGGCGGCUCGUCGCGUCGACCGUGAAAACCCGCAGCUUAACUGCGGGCUUGCGGUUGAUACGGGCGGGCUAGAGUUCGGUAGGGGAGACUGGAAUUCCUGGUGUAGAGGUGAAAUUCGUAGAUAUCAGGAGGAACACCGGUGGCGAAGGCGGCUUCCUGGACACUUACUGACGCUGAGGAGCGAAAGCCAGGGGAGCAAACGGG
This 253-nucleotide ribosomal RNA is filed under the name uncultured bacterium. RNAcentral describes it as "partial 16S ribosomal RNA". It matches the Rfam family "Bacterial small subunit ribosomal RNA", at positions 524 to 776 of the family's 1533-position model. The record is from RNAcentral.